AGCGUGAGCGUGCUAAGGUAGCGUAAUAAUUAGCCUUUUAAUUGGAGGCCAGUGAAUGGCAAGACUAGGAAUAGCUGUACUUUGUGUAUAAAAAGAACUUUUCGUCUAAGUGAAAAGACUUAGAUAACAAAGGAAGACGAAAAGACCCCGCGGAACUUUACCUUUUCUUAAACUUCUGUCUACAAACUUAAAGGUUUAAUAGGUUUGAUUGGGGCAAUCUUGGAACCAGUAAAACUUCCAAUUUUUUAAAAUAAACAUAUGAAAUUUGUUGAGGACUAAAAAGUAGUUACCCCGGGGAUAACAGCGUAAUCCAACUUAAGAGUACACAUCGAAAGUUGGGUUUGCGACCUCGAUGU
This 356-nucleotide ribosomal RNA is filed under the name Nodularia douglasiae. RNAcentral describes it as "partial 16S ribosomal RNA". It matches the Rfam family "Bacterial large subunit ribosomal RNA", at positions 1939 to 2532 of the family's 2925-position model. The record is from RNAcentral. Lineage: Eukaryota; Metazoa; Mollusca; Bivalvia; Unionida; Unionidae.